Long non-coding RNA from Neofelis nebulosa (Clouded leopard), 1401 nucleotides. RefSeq lists it as uncharacterized. The transcript has 4 exons. NCBI's taxonomy places the organism in Eukaryota, Metazoa, Chordata, Mammalia, Carnivora, Felidae. The record is from RefSeq and is a predicted model, not a curated record.
AUAAGGUCGUCCAGGUUAAAACCAAAUGAUUGAUGGAAAGUCAACUUAGAGACGCAUCACGAGUAAAUGGGAGUAUAGGCUGUGAGGGAAAAGUAUCACAAGGGUGGUAUGCAAAUUGCGGAGUCCUAAGAGAUUCAACACUCAGUCUAAAAUGUUCCCCUUUUCAAGAGAACCGCUCUUCGAUGGAGCGCGUGUGUUUAUUUAGCACACGUUUAUCAAGAUGAGUGUGAUACGGCUUUUGCCCUUGAGGAACUUACAGUAAAAACAGGCUCAUAAAGGAAUGAUCACGGUUCAGAAACAACAGCUAACAUUUACUAUAAACCAGUCAUCUGCAGGUGCUUUGCCUGCCAAUCACCUCAUCCGGUUUCACAGGAAUGAUUGAAAGUGGAUUUGACUUUUGUAUCCAUUCUACAGAUGUGGAAACUGAGAGAAAGGGAGAUGAAGUAACCCAGCUGGCUGUAGUGGAGCCAGGAUUCAGAACCCAGGCACUGGAGCUUUGAAGCCGGGUUCUAGUAGCAAAGUAUACACAGGCCCAGGGGAGAACAGGAGAUAUGGCUCACAUAUCAGCCAGGAACCCUUCCUUUGCUUGUUGAGAAGUAACACAAUGAAGAUUCAAGGUGCUUUGUGUAGGGCUAAAGUUAUCCAGCGAGUGGCUUCUGUUGUAAGAAAACCAAUAUCACGUCCAUCCUGAAGCCUGGUCCUCCAGAAUUCUUGGCAAUUAUGAGAGUUACCCAGGACCUUCUCAGCAAAUUCCCUUUGUGCCUGCAUCAGCCACAGCGCAUUUCUGGUUCCUACACUUAAGAACUCUGUCUAGUAGGGUGCAAGUGUAGUGCCAGCUCUUAUUAUUAUUCUCCCAUUUCUGUUUCUGUUUGAACUGGCACUUAUCUUCCUAAACUUGUUUCAUUCACAAAUUAAAUAGCGUCUGACACUCCGUCUUCCUCGAAAAGCCUCUCCUGACUAAUUGGGAAGUGCCAAUUUCUUCUCCCAUCUCGGGUGCCAGCAACUUCUCAGCCUUACUUGUCACUGCCUUCCACCAUCCUCAGAGCAGCAGCGGGACAACUGCCGCUGUUCUCACAUAGGUGAUUCAUCUGUCAGGGGUUUACAGAGUUGUCAGUGUUUGUUCGUGUCAACAUCGCCUACUAUAGAGCCCGAGUGCACGGUGGACACAGAUGGUGUUGAUUUAAUUGAUUUUUCGAACAGCACGUGGUCGUUCGCUUGAUUCAGGUGAGUACAUCAGCCUUUUGAUGAUGACGAACAAUUCAGAUAUUGGGUGGAGACAGGCAGUUGGUGGCCAGACAAACUUGCUUUAAAGGAGGUUAUCUGAACCGAGCUGUGUCUCCGGCUUCUCUCAUCAGCAUCUGAGAAGUCUCCUGGGAGCGAUUGGCGUAAUGGAAAAAAUGG